CAGCAGCCACGGUAAUACGUAGGUGGCAAGCGUUGUCCGGAAUUAUUGGGCGUAAAGGGCUCGCAGGCGGUUUCUUAAGUCUGAUGUGAAAGCCCCCGGCUCAACCGGGGAGGGUCAUUGGAAACUGGGAAACUUGAGUGCAGAAGAGGAGAGUGGAAUUCCACGUGUAGCGGUGAAAUGCGUAGAGAUGUGGAGGAACACCAGUGGCGAAGGCGACUCUCUGGUCUGUAACUGACGCUGAGGAGCGAGAGCGUGGGGAGCGAACAGGAUUAGAUACCCCUGUAGUCCCUGUCUCUUAUAA
RNAcentral lists this ribosomal RNA (301 nucleotides) under uncultured bacterium. RNAcentral describes it as "partial 16S ribosomal RNA". It matches the Rfam family "Bacterial small subunit ribosomal RNA", at positions 509 to 809 of the family's 1533-position model. The record is from RNAcentral.